CUUAGUGGCGGACGGGUGAGUAACGCGCGGGUAACCUGCCCCAUACCGGGGGAUACCACCUGGAAACAGGUGCUAAUACCGCAUAAGCGCACGGGAGCGCAUGCUCCUGUGUGAAAAACUCCGGUGGUAUGGGAUGGACCCGCGUCUGAUUAGCCAGUUGGCAGGGUAACGGCCUACCAAAGCGACGAUCAGUAGCCGGCCUGAGAGGGUGGACGGCCACAUUGGGACUGAGACACGGCCCAAACUCCUACGGAAGGCAGCAG
Molecule: ribosomal RNA, 263 nt
Filed under: uncultured bacterium
Lineage: Bacteria
Description: partial 16S ribosomal RNA
Rfam family: Bacterial small subunit ribosomal RNA
Source: RNAcentral